UGCAAGUCGAACGAACUCUGGUAUUGAUUGGUGCUUGCAUCAUGAUUUACAUUUGAGUGAGUGGCGAACUGGUGAGUAACACGUGGGAAACCUGCCCAGAAGCGGGGGAUAACACCUGGAAACAGAUGCUAAUACCGCAUAACAACUUGGACCGCAUGGUCCGAGCUUGAAAGAUGGCUUCGGCUAUCACUUUUGGAUGGUCCCGCGGCGUAUUAGCUAGAUGGUGGGGUAACGGCUCACCAUGGCAAUGAUACGUAGCCGACCUGAGAGGGUAAUCGGCCACAUUGGGACUGAGACACGGCCCAAACUCCUACGGGAGGCAGCAGUAGGGAAUCUUCCACAAUGGACGAAAGUCUGAUGGAGCAACGCCGCGUGAGUGAAGAAGGGUUUCGGCUCGUAAAACUCUGUUGUUAAAGAAGAACAUAUCUGAGAGUAACUGUUCAGGUAUUGACGGUAUUUAACCAGAAAGCCACGGCUAACUACGUGCCAGCAGCCGCGGUAAUACGUAGGUGGCAAGCGUUGUCCGGAUUUAUUGGGCGUAAAGCGAGCGCAGGCGGUUUUUUAAGUCUGAUGUGAAAGCCUUCGGCUCAACCGAAGAAGUGCAUCGGAAACUGGGAAACUUGAGUGCAGAAGAGGACAGUGGAACUCCAUGUGUAGCGGUGAAAUGCGUAGAUAUAUGGAAGAACACCAGUGGCGAAGGCGGCUGUCUGGUCUGUAACUGACGCUGAGGCUCGAAAGUAUGGGUAGCAAACAGGAUUAGAUACCCUGGUAGUCCAUACCGUAAACGAUGAAUGCUAAGUGUUGGAGGGUUUCCGCCCUUCAGUGCUGCAGCUAACGCAUUAAGCAUUCCGCCUGGGGAGUACGGCCGCAAGGCUGAAACUCAAAGGAAUUGACGGGGGCCCGCACAAGCGGUGGAGCAUGUGGUUUAAUUCGAAGCUACGCGAAGAACCUUACCAGGUCUUGACAUACUAUGCAAAUCUAAGAGAUUAGACGUUCCCUUCGGGGACAUGGAUACAGGUGGUGCAUGGUUGUCGUCAGCUCGUGUCCUGAGAUGUUGGGUUAAGUCCCGCAACGAGCGCAACCCUUAUUAUCAGUUGCCAGCAUUAAGUUGGGCACUCUGGUGAGACUGCCGGUGACAAACCGGAGGAAGGUGGGGAUGACGUCAAAUCAUCAUGCCCCUUAUGACCUGGGCUACACACGUGCUACAAUGGAUGGUACAACGAGUUGCGAACUCGCGAGAGUAAGCUAAUCUCUUAAAGCCAUUCUCAGUUCGGAUUGUAGGCUGCAACUCGCCUACAUGAAGUCGGAAUCGCUAGUAAUCGCGGAUCAGCAUGCCGCGGUGAAUACGUUCCCGGGCCUUGUACACACCGCCCGUCACACCAUGAGAGUUUGUAACACCCAAAGUCGGUGGGGUAACCU
Molecule: ribosomal RNA, 1419 nt
Filed under: Lactiplantibacillus plantarum
Lineage: Bacteria; Bacillati; Bacillota; Bacilli; Lactobacillales; Lactobacillaceae
Description: bacterial SSU rRNA
Rfam family: Bacterial small subunit ribosomal RNA
Source: RNAcentral